This 159-nucleotide ribosomal RNA is filed under the name uncultured bacterium. RNAcentral's name for it is "partial 16S ribosomal RNA". It matches the Rfam family "Bacterial small subunit ribosomal RNA", at positions 331 to 507 of the family's 1533-position model. The record is from RNAcentral.
AGUGAUUCCUACGGGAGGCAGCAGUGGGGAAUAUUGGACAAUGGGCGAAAGCCUGAUCCAGCAAUGCCGCGUGAGUGAUGAAGGCCUUAGGGUUGUAAAGCUCUUUUACCCGGGAUGAUAAUGACAGUACCGGGAGAAUAAGCCCCGGCUAACUCCGUG